This 397-nucleotide ribosomal RNA is filed under the name uncultured bacterium. Its description in RNAcentral is "partial 16S ribosomal RNA". It matches the Rfam family "Bacterial small subunit ribosomal RNA", at positions 523 to 918 of the family's 1533-position model. The record is from RNAcentral.
AUACGUAGGGGGCGAGCGUUGUCCGGAAUGAUUGGGCGUAAAGGGCGCGUAGGCGGCCCGGUAAGUCUGGAGUGAAAGUCCUGUUUUUAAGAUGGGAAUUGCUUUGGAUACUGUCGGGCUUGAGUGCAGGAGAGGUAAGUGGAAUUCCCAGUGUAGCGGUGAAAUGCGUAGAGAUUGGGAGGAACACCAGUGGCGAAGGCGACUUACUGGACUGUAACUGACGCUGAGGCGCGAAAGUGUGGGGAGCAAACAGGAUUAGAUACCCUGGUGGUCCACACUGUAAACGAUGAAUGCUAGGUGUAGGGGGUAUCGACCCCUUCUGUGCCGCAGUCAACACAAUAAGCAUUCCGCCUGGGGAGUACGGCCGCAAGGCUUAAACUCAAAGGAAUUGACGGGG